Long non-coding RNA from Oncorhynchus keta (chum salmon), 806 nucleotides. RefSeq lists it as uncharacterized. The record is from RefSeq and is a predicted model, not a curated record. The transcript has 3 exons. NCBI's taxonomy places the organism in Eukaryota, Metazoa, Chordata, Actinopteri, Salmoniformes, Salmonidae.
ACAUGACCCCGCUGUUCUACGACACGCCUCCUCCCCGUGGCAUCCGGUGCCUUGCUGUAAGGCCUGGAGGGUCGGACGGUAAAACAGGAUGACACACAGAGACAGGAAGGAAAACGAGGAUCCGGAGAUGGUUUCCUCAUCAGCACUCAUCACACACCAGCCAGGAGAGUAAAUCCCUAAUUAGUGCCCCGGUCGGAGCACAGCUCCAGGUCACCCCUCACCACAUUAUUAAACUGGGUAAAUCAAGAUGUAGCCUAGGCCUAUUCACAAUAGAGGGGAAUGCAUAUUCAAUACAACUGUGUGCAUACAUUGAGUUAUUUCAUGGGACACUAGAUGAAAAGCAAUCUGUUUCCCUACCAUUUGGGACUCAUUUUAAUCGUACUGAUCAACAACAUUUGCAUAGAAGCAGCAAUCUUUCCUUUUAGAAAAGUGUGCACUGUCUCUUUAAGAUCCAUGACGUCAUUCACUAACAGUCAGUUCGAUGCUAAAGCACAUAUGCAUAUGAUUGAGAGAGACCGGAGGCUGGGAGACAACGUGAAUGAAUGACAUUUUGUGACAAACAGCUUUGAAAUCAUCAACAUUUUCGCAUUAAGCAUGAGUGGCGAUGCAGCCCGGACUCCCAGUGAGUGCAGUGGUUCCUCGGGACAGGCUAGAGCUGGGAAUAAGGCCCUGUGGUUAUUACCUGUGAGAACGCUCCCAAGGCUCCCCCUACGGAGGUUCAUGCCGUCCUCACAGAGUGGUCUCUUGAAUUUGAGGGAGAGGCCCACGCCGUGGAUGACCUCCAGGUUGGUGGACUUCCGGAAGGG